This 532-nucleotide ribosomal RNA is filed under the name uncultured Escherichia sp. Its description in RNAcentral is "bacterial SSU rRNA". It matches the Rfam family "Bacterial small subunit ribosomal RNA", at positions 505 to 1040 of the family's 1533-position model. The record is from RNAcentral. Lineage: Bacteria; Pseudomonadati; Pseudomonadota; Gammaproteobacteria; Enterobacterales; Enterobacteriaceae.
AUGCCAGCCGCCGCGGUAAUACGGAGGGUGCAAGCGUUAAUCGGAAUUACUGGGCGUAAAGCGCACGCAGGCGGUCUGACAAGUCGGAUGUGAAAUCCCCGGGCUCAACCCGGGAACUGCAUUCGAAACUGUCAGGCUGGAGUCUUGUAGAGGGGGGUAGAAUUCCAGGUGUAGCGGUGAAAUGCGUAGAGAUCUGGAGGAAUACCGGUGGCGAAGGCGGCCCCCUGGACAAAGACUGACGCUCAGGUGCGAAAGCGUGGGGAGCAAACGGGAUUAGAUACCCUGGUAGUCCACGCUGUAAACGAUGUCGACUUGGAGGUUGUGCCCUUGAGGCGUGCUUCGGAGCUAACGCGUUAAGUCGACCGCCUGGGGAGUACGGCCGCAAGGUUAAAACUCAAAUGAAUUGACGGGGCCGCACAAGCGGUGGAGCAUGUGGUUUAAUUCGAUGCAACGCGAAGAACCUUACCUACUCUUGACAUCCAGAGAACUUAGCAGAGAUGCUUUGGUGCCUUCGGGAACUCUGAGACAGGUG